This 301-nucleotide ribosomal RNA is filed under the name uncultured bacterium. RNAcentral describes it as "partial 16S ribosomal RNA". It matches the Rfam family "Bacterial small subunit ribosomal RNA", at positions 509 to 808 of the family's 1533-position model. The record is from RNAcentral.
CAGUCGCCGCGGUAAUACGUAGGUGGCAAGCGUUGUCCGGAAUUAUUGGGCGUAAAGCGCGCGCAGGUGGUUUAAUAAGUCUGAUGUGAAAGCCCACGGCUCAACCGUGGAGGGUCAUUGGAAACUGUUAAACUUGAGUGCAGGAGAGAAAAGUGGAAUUCCUAGUGUAGCGGUGAAAUGCGUAGAGAUUAGGAGGAACACCAGUGGCGAAGGCGACUCUCUGGUCUGUAACUGACGCUGGGGAGCGAAAGCGUGGGGAGCGAACAGGAUUAGAUACCCGCGUAGUCCCUGUCUCUUAACA